This 522-nucleotide ribosomal RNA is filed under the name uncultured Sphingobacterium sp. Its description in RNAcentral is "bacterial SSU rRNA". It matches the Rfam family "Bacterial small subunit ribosomal RNA", at positions 9 to 524 of the family's 1533-position model. The record is from RNAcentral. Lineage: Bacteria; Pseudomonadati; Bacteroidota; Sphingobacteriia; Sphingobacteriales; Sphingobacteriaceae. RNAcentral also lists the same sequence under 1 other name.
GAGUUUGAUCCUGGCUCAGGAUGAACGCUAGCGGCAGGCUUAAUACAUGCAAGUCGAGGGGCAGCAGGGUGUAGCAAUACAUCGCUGGCGACCGGCAAACGGGUGCGGAACACGUACGCAAUCUACCCAUAACUGGGGCGUAGCCCUCCGAAAGGAGGAUUAAUACCUCGUAACCUUUAAGAGUGGCAUCACUUUUUUAGUAUAGCUCCGGCGGUUAUGGAUGAGCGUGCGGCUGAUUAGGUAGUUGGCGGGGUAACGGCCCACCAAGCCUGCGAUCAGUAACUGGUGUGAGAGCACGACCAGUCACACGGGCACUGAGACACGGGCCCGACUCCUACGGGAGGCAGCAGUAAGGAAUAUUGGUCAAUGGAGGCAACUCUGAACCAGCCAUGCCGCGUGAAGGAUGAAGGUCCUCUGGAUUGUAAACUUCUUUUACAGGGGAAGAAACCGCUUUUUUCCAAGAGCGUUGACGGUACCCUGGGAAUAAGCACCGGCUAACUCCGUGCCAGCCGCCGCGGUAAC